RNAcentral lists this ribosomal RNA (2926 nucleotides) under bioreactor metagenome. RNAcentral's name for it is "bacterial LSU rRNA". It matches the Rfam family "Bacterial large subunit ribosomal RNA". The record is from RNAcentral.
UAAAAUUUAAUUACAGCAUAAAAUGGAUGCCUUGACUCGAAUAUCCGAAGAAGGACGUACAAGUCUGCGAUAAGCCUAGAAGAGUCGACAAGAGACGUUAUUAUUCUAGGAUUUCCGAAUGGGGGAACCUAAUACAAGUAAUUUGUAUUGCCUGCAUAGCAGGAGGACACGCGGUGAACUGAAAUAUCUAAGUAGCCACGGACAAGAAAUCAAAUGAGAUUCCCUUAGUAGUGACGAGCGAAACGGGAUCAGCCCAAACCAUAAGAUACGUAUAGGUAGCUUUUGUACUUAUGGGGUUGUAGGAAUAACAUUAGGGGAGGCUAAUAAACCUAAUAUUUUUUAAGAUUGUUAAGAGAACAAGCUGGGAAGCUUGGCCAUAGAGGGUUAAAGCCCCGUAAAUUAAAGCAUUUUUAUCAAAUAUCUGUUAUUUCCUGAGUAGGUUCAGACACGUGUAAUCUGGAUUGAAUCUGGGGAGACCACUCUCCAAGGCUAAAUAGUAUUCGAGAUCGAUAGUGAACUAGUACCAUGAGGGAAAGGUGAAAAGAACCCCGGGAGGGGAGUGAAAUAGAACCUGAAAUUUUAUGCUUAUAAUGAGAUGGAGCCUUCGGGUGACAUCGUACUUUUUGUAGAACGGACCAACGAGUUAGUGUGUAUGGCAAGGUUAAGGAAGUUAAAUCCGGAGCCGUAGUGAAAGCGAGCCUGAAUAGGGCGUUAAGUCAUAUAUACUAGACCCGAAACUAGGUGAGCUUCCCAUGAGCAGGCUGAAGCGGUAGUAAAAUACCGUGGAGGGCCGAACCAUUAGGAGCUGCAAGUCCUUUGGAUGACUUGUGGGAAGGAGUGAAAAGCUAAUCGAACCUAGAGAUAGCUGGUUCUCCGCGAAAUAGCUUUAGGGCUAGCCUCGAUUAACUAUUAUACGGGGGUAGAGCUCUGAUUGGACUAGCGGGCCUCGCGGCUUAGCAAAUCCUGAUAAACUUCGAAUACCGUAUAAAUUACAUCGGGAGUCAGACGGUGACAGAUAAGUGCCAUCGUCAAAAGGGAAACAGCCCAGAUUACUGUCUAAGGUCCCUAAUUAAUAACUAAGUGGAAAAGGAUGUGGGAUUGCUGAGACAACCAGGAGGUUGGCUUAGAAGCAGCCAUUCCUUGAAAGAGUGCGUAAUAGCUCACUGGUCAAGCGAACCUGCGCCGAAAAUUCAACGGGGCUAAGUUAUUAACCGAAGACGUAAACUCGCAAGAGUGGUAGCGGAGCGUUCUGUAUGUCGCUGAAGGUGAAGGGUGACCUUUGCUGGAGAUAUCAGAAGUGAAAAUGUUGGUAUGAGUAACGUAAGGGAGAUGAAAACUCUCCCCGCCGAAAACCUAAGGUUUCCUACGCAACGGCAGUCGACGUAGGGUUAGUCGGUCCUAAGGUGAACCCGAAAGGGGCAGCUGAUGGAUAUCAGGUUAAUAUUCCUGAACUACUAAUAUUUUGCUAAGGGGGGACAUAUCGGGACAUAGGAGACACUGAAUUAAUUGUGUUACGAAAACAAAUCUUAAAUUGUAGGCAAAUCCGCAAUUUUCUAUGGUGAGUUUAGUUAAGUGGAGUUUACUUCUUCGGAAGCAAAUGAAAUGGCUUCUACUGUGUUCUGGUAUCGAGAAAAGCCUCUAUGCGUUAAAAUAUUGGUAACCGUACCGUAAACGAACACACGUGGGUUAGUGGAGAACACUAAGGCGAACGAGAUAACCAUGCUUAAGGAACUCGGCAAAACAGCGGUCGUAACUUCGGGAUAAGACCUGCCUUGAAUUUAAUUUAGAUUCAAGGCCGCAGCGAAAGAACUCAGGCGACUGUUUACCAAAAACACAGCUCUCUGCAAAAUCGUAAGAUGAUGUAUAGGGGGUGAUGCCUGCCCAGUGCCAGAAGGUUACGUGGAUGAGUGCAAGCUCUGAAAUUAAGCCCUGGUGAACGGCGGCCGUAACUAUAACGGUCCUAAGGUAGCGAAAUUCCUUGUCGGGUAAGUUCCGACCCGCACGAAUGGCAUAACGGUCUGAGUACUGUCUCAAGCAUGGACUCGGUGAAAUUGCAAUGUCGGUAAAAAUGCCGACUACCUGCAGCAAGACGGAAAGACCCUAUGGAGCUUUACUACAGCUUGAUAUUGGGUUAUAAUUUAAGAUGUGCAGAAUAGGUGGGAGACUUUGAAGAGGGAACGCUAGUUCUUUUGGAGUCACCUUUGAGAUACCACCCUUCUUAAAUUGUAACUCUAACCCGAUUAUUCGGGGACAGUGUUUGGUGGGUAGUUUAACUGGGGCGGUUGCCUCCUAAAGAGUAACGGAGGCGCGCAAUGGUCAACUAUCUCCGGAUGGAAAUCGGAGAGAUAGUGUAUUCGCAUAAGUUGGCCUGACUGAGAGACCUACAAGUCGAACAGACACGAAAGUGGGCGAAAAUGAUCCGGCACUAACGCGUGGAAGUGGUGUCGCUCAACGGAUAAAAGUUACCCUAGGGAUAACAGGCUGAUCGCGUCCAAGAGUUCACAUCGACGACGCGGUUUGGCACCUCGAUGUCGGCUCGUCGCAUCCUGGGGCUGGAGAAGGUCCCAAGGGUAUGGCUGUUCGCCAUUUAAAGCGGUACGCGAGCUGGGUUCAGAACGUCGUGAGACAGUUUGGCCCCUAUCUGCUGUGGGCGUGUAGAAAUUUGAGAAGAUCUGUUCCUAGUACGAGAGGACCGGAAUGGACAAACCUCUGGUGUAUCGGUUGUCAGGUAUACUGGCACUGCCGAGUAGCUAAGUUUGGAAUGGAUAACCACUGAAAGCAUCUAAGUGGGAAGCCAACUUCAAGAUUAGAUUUCUCUGCCUCGAGCAAUAAGUCCCCAUGGAGACUACAUGGUUGAUAGGUUGCAGGUGUAAGAAUAGUGAUAUUCUCAGCCGAGCAAUACUAAUCGGACGAAUGGAUUUUAUUA